Molecule: long non-coding RNA, 1173 nt
Organism: Astyanax mexicanus (Mexican tetra)
Lineage: Eukaryota; Metazoa; Chordata; Actinopteri; Characiformes; Acestrorhamphidae
Exons: 6
Source: RefSeq, a predicted model, not a curated record
UUAGCAUUCUAGCUAACAGUUUUACCUCAGAUCUGAGUUCGCGCGCGCCGUUAGAUAGCUGGCUAAUUUACCUCAAAAUUCUCCUAACAGUUAACGGUAACUAUCGCCCUGCAGACGCGUCGCUCCGCACUUUUCUGAGGUACUGCUCCUGAUGUGGACCCACCGUGUCCAGACACACUUGAAUCUGAAAGUAGGAGAAGGAAGAGAUGAAGACUACACACUUCACAGACAAUAUUUGUUUGACCCUGUUGAAGCGCUGUCUCCAGGCCAGUCUGCGAGAGUUGUGAUGGAGGGUAGUGUUUACCAGCAGGGUCUUCCUUCACUGUGUCGCCUGCAUCGUCUUCAUCCAUCAGAAGGAGAAAACCCCUUUUCCCAGACAGUUCAGCACAUCCUAAUGGAGGUAUAACUCUGGACUGACCUGGUGUAUCUGGGUCCUUCUUCUCCACCACGCCUUCACCAGAAUCUGGAGAAAAACACAGGAAUUCAUCACUCUGACCCUGAGCUUACAGUUUCAUCAUCAGCUGCUCUGGUUCUGAGAACUCCCCCCGAACACUAGUGAUGCUCCUGACACGAGGAUGAUAAAGACCAGAGCACGUCUUCUCUGAUACGUCAAACUCCGCCUCUUUCCUAACUGCAGCCAAUCAGUGCAGCACCACUAGGUAGCAGCACAGUGCUGGAUCUCCAACUCUGAUACAUCAGCUAACUCUGACUCAGAUCGCUGAGGGUAAUUAUGGUAAUGUUAAUGUAAAUUUAUUUAAUGUUAUUCUCACCUGCUGUGGCUCCGUUAUUAGUCUGAGGCUCAUCUGUAAACAUAAAAACACAAGUUAACAAGUUUCUAUAGUUUACAGUCAUUACAGCUCAUUAUUUAUUAUUAUUAUUUAUGAUUAUUAUAUUAUUUAUUUAUUAAUAUUUAUUAUUAUUAAACAUUACAGGAACAUUAUAUGGGAAUAAAUAUUUAUCUAAAUAAAGGUGGACCUAUAUCAGCUAAAACUAGUGGAAAACAGGCAGCAAAUAUUAAUAAAAAUCUCAAAUAUCUUUUUAAUCAUAUUAACAUAAAAUAUUAUACAUGGGGUUCUGUGGAUUGUACAGUAGCAGAACCAUAACAAUAAUUAUUGUAGAAUAUAUGUGUUUGUAAAAAACUUUAAAUUUGUUAAAUAAAGUGUUUUUCUCUUU